This is a non-coding RNA of Pseudomonas syringae pv. pisi str. 1704B, 88 nucleotides long. The record is from Rfam. Lineage: Bacteria; Pseudomonadati; Pseudomonadota; Gammaproteobacteria; Pseudomonadales; Pseudomonadaceae.
ACGUGAGUUGGGUCCGGGCCUGUAUGGGGCUCAACGAGUUUGGUGCGGCUCAGGAGAGCCUUCGCCGAACGUCCUCAAGAGUGCGGAA